CUUUUGUUAAUGCAGUCUUCAUCUGGCAGAUACAAGAAUGGACCUGAAGAUCUUGGUCAGUGCUGUUAUAUUCCUUUUGGCUCUCAGUCAAGGUCAGAGCCUGCAGUGUUUCCAAUGUGCAUCGUUUAAUCCUCAAUAUAAAUGCACAAGCCCUCAAAAUAUUACUUGUUCAGUGUCAAACUCUGCAUGUGGACUGUUCUACAAUUUAGGAAAAUUGAUUAUGUACCAGGACUGCCUGACUAGGGAGCAAUGUUUUGUUCUGUACCAAGCUGCGGGUGGCCAAAAAUGUUGUGGCAGUAAUUUGUGUAAUCAUUAGCUGUAAUUAGAAUCUACUGAAUGUGUUCAAGAAAUGUGAUUUUGGAAUUUAAUCAUUUGAGAUAUAUGUUUAUUGAGUGAUCAUUAUGCUUUAUAAUCAGAUUCAAUGAGGUUAAAAAUACUGUUAAAUA
This is a long non-coding RNA of Colossoma macropomum (tambaqui), 446 nucleotides long. RefSeq lists it as uncharacterized. Lineage: Eukaryota; Metazoa; Chordata; Actinopteri; Characiformes; Serrasalmidae. The transcript is spliced from 4 exons. The record is from RefSeq and is a predicted model, not a curated record.